This 464-nucleotide ribosomal RNA is filed under the name uncultured bacterium. RNAcentral describes it as "bacterial SSU rRNA". It matches the Rfam family "Bacterial small subunit ribosomal RNA", at positions 373 to 848 of the family's 1533-position model. The record is from RNAcentral.
GGACGAAAGUCUGACCCAGCGACGCCGCGUGAGGGAUGAAGGCCUUCGGGUUGUAAACCUCUUUCAGUAGGGAAGAAGCGAAAGUGACGGUACCUAAAGAAGAAGCACCGGCUAACUAUGUGCCAGCAGCCGCGGUAAUACAUAGGGUGCAAGCGUUGUCCGGAAUUAUUGGGCGUAAAGAGCUCGUAGGUGGUUUGUUGCGUCGGGUGUGAAAUUCAGGGGCUCAACCCCUGACCUGCACUCGAUACGGGCAAGCUAGAGUUUGGUAGGGGAGACUGGAAUUCCUGGUGUAGCGGUGGAAUGCGCAGAUAUCAGGAGGAACACCAAUGGCGAAGGCAGGUCUCUGGGCCAAUACUGACACUGAGGAGCGAAAGCGCGGGGAGCGAACAGGAUUAGAUACCCUGGUAGUCCGCGCCGUAAACGAUGGGCGCUAGUUGUGGGGACCUUCCACGGUUUCCGCGACG